RNAcentral lists this ribosomal RNA (427 nucleotides) under uncultured bacterium. RNAcentral's name for it is "partial 16S ribosomal RNA". It matches the Rfam family "Bacterial small subunit ribosomal RNA", at positions 355 to 774 of the family's 1533-position model. The record is from RNAcentral.
UGGGGAAUAUUGGACAAUGGGCGAAAGCCUGAUCCAGCCAUGCCGCGUGUGUGAAGAAGGCCUUCGGGUUGUAAAGCACUUUAAGUUGGGAGGAAGGGCAUUAACCUAAUACGUUAGUGUUUUGACGUUACCGACAGAAUAAGCACCGGCUAACUCUGUGCCAGCAGCCGCGGUAAUACAGAGGGUGCAAGCGUUAAUCGGAAUUACUGGGCGUAAAGCGCGCGUAGGUGGUUUGUUAAGUUGGAUGUGAAAUCCCCGGGCUCAACCUGGGAACUGCAUUCAAAACUGGCUGACUAGAGUAUGGUAGAGGGUGGUAGAAUUUCAUGUGUAGCGGUGAAAUGCGUAGAUAUAGGAAGGAACACCAGUGGCGAAGGCGACCACCUGGACUAAUACUGACACUGAGGUGCGAAAGCGUGGGGAGCAAACA